This 240-nucleotide unclassified non-coding RNA is filed under the name soil metagenome. Its description in RNAcentral is "partial contains 5.8S ribosomal RNA, internal transcribed spacer 2, and large subunit ribosomal RNA". The record is from RNAcentral.
AACGCACGAGACCUGCGGACCUGCGGAGGGAUCAUUAUUGAAUGAAACAAGGCUUUAGCACUGUUGCUGGCUCUAUGGAGCAUGUGCACGUCUGGGCCAUUCAUCUCUGCUCACCUGUGCACCAUUUGUAGGCCUGGCUUGAGGAUUUGCAAUUUAGCUGUCCUUGAUCUCAUUCAGGCCUAUGUCUUUAUACCAUAUAAACACUAUAUAAAAACAGUUUGGAAUGUUGGCUUAUAUAUA